AUGUCGCAAUUGGGCUUCAAAGAUGAGCAUGCCGUCAAGAAGGUGGAGAUGGCUCUGGACAUCAUGCAACAGGAACCUGGUCUUCACCAUGGACACGGUGUUCUGAGCCACAAACCAAGCGCAAGGCCGAGAAUAUUUUGUCAGAAACGUCGAGAGUGUGUUGUGCCAUCUGUCACAUCACCCCCAGGGACAAGUUUGUGCUCAAGUUUAGGCUCAUCAAAUCGAAUGCGCAGUGCCAUGUCGAUCGCACCUUCUGUGAAGCAUCAAGAGCGAAGCACGUUGUCUUUGAUCUCAGUAUGGGGUUGCGGGGCGGGGCCGUGCCAACUCGUGCUCCAUUUCAGCAGUAGCUCUCCUGCCAUCAGAUCUCUGCUUUUCAUGUCUGUGUGCCUGGACCUGUCCCUUCGCAUGAUUUCUGUGGCUUCGCAAGCCUAUGGAAGCUCAAGCUCGAUGCCGCAUGAAGAGAUAUGCAGUGCCUUUGCUCGACUACACCUUUGCAGAUCUUCUUGGUGGUACGGAAGCCCUCCAUAUCCAACCUGCUGUUGA
RNAcentral lists this ribosomal RNA (543 nucleotides) under Triticum aestivum (bread wheat). RNAcentral describes it as "partial small subunit ribosomal RNA". The record is from RNAcentral. Lineage: Eukaryota; Viridiplantae; Streptophyta; Magnoliopsida; Poales; Poaceae.